CAAUAGCGUAUAUUAAAGUUGUUGCGGUAAAAAAGCUCGUAGUUGGAUUUCUACCGAAGAUAGCCGGUCGGGUCUUCGACCUUGUAUCUGGUUUUGUCUUUGGUAUCCUCAUAGGGAACGUUUCUGCGCUUUAUUGCGUGGUGCGGUAUCUAAGACUUUUACUUUGAGGAAAUUAGAGUGUUCACGGCAGGCAAACGCCUUGAAUAUAUUAGCAUGGAAUAAUAACAUAGGAUCUUCGUCCUAUUUUGUUGGUUUCUAGGGCUAAGAUAAUGAUUAAUAGGGAUAAUUGGGGGCAUCUGUAUCAACGCGUCAGAGGUGGAAUUCUUGGAUUGCGUUGCGACAAACUACUGCGAAAGCAUUUGCCAAGGAUGUUUUCAUUGA
Molecule: ribosomal RNA, 381 nt
Filed under: uncultured eukaryote
Lineage: Eukaryota
Description: partial 18S ribosomal RNA
Rfam family: Eukaryotic small subunit ribosomal RNA
Source: RNAcentral